Molecule: ribosomal RNA, 305 nt
Filed under: uncultured bacterium
Lineage: Bacteria
Description: partial 16S ribosomal RNA
Rfam family: Bacterial small subunit ribosomal RNA
Source: RNAcentral
ACAGCAGUAGCCACGGUAAUACAGAGGGUGCGAGCGUUAAUCGGAUUUACUGGGCGUAAAGCGUGCGUAGGCGGCUUCUUAAGUCGGAUGUGAAAUCCCUGAGCUUAACUUAGGAAUUGCAUUCGAUACUGGGAAGCUAGAGUAUGGGAGAUGAUGGUAGAAUUCCAGGUGUAGCGGUGAAAUGCGUAGAGAUCUGGAGGAAUACCGAUGGCGAAGGCAGCCAUCUGGCCUAAUACUGACGCUCAGGUGCGAAAGCGUGGGGAGCAAACAGGAUUAGAUACCCGGGUAGUCCCUGUCUCUUAUAC